RNAcentral lists this ribosomal RNA (253 nucleotides) under uncultured bacterium. RNAcentral describes it as "partial 16S ribosomal RNA". It matches the Rfam family "Bacterial small subunit ribosomal RNA", at positions 524 to 776 of the family's 1533-position model. The record is from RNAcentral.
UCCGAAGGGUGCAAGCGUUAAUCGGAAUUACUGGGCGUAAAGCGUGCGUAGGCGGCCUUGUAAGUCGGAUGUGAAAGCCCCGGGCUCAACCUGGGAAUGGCAUUCGAGACUGCGGGGCUGGAGUUUGGGAGAGGGUGGUGGAAUUCCCGGUGUAGCGGUGAAAUGCGUAGAGAUCGGGAGGAACAUCAGUGGCGAAGGCGGCCACCUGGCCUAAAACUGACGCUGAGGCACGAAAGCGUGGGGAGAAAACAGG